This 67-nucleotide transfer RNA is filed under the name Bramus lutescens (Transcaucasian mole vole). Its description in RNAcentral is "tRNA-Cys". Lineage: Eukaryota; Metazoa; Chordata; Mammalia; Rodentia; Cricetidae. The record is from RNAcentral.
AGCCUUGAGGUGAUAGUCACGUCGAAUUGCAAAUUCGAAGGUGUAGAGGUUGAUUCUACUAAGGCUU